AUGGAGGAUCAUCCUGGCCAUCCUAUUUCCAACUAUGAUUUCUUGUCAGGGAAUGGUUGUCAUACGAAGAAAUUAGUUCAUAAGAACUACGACCGGAACUCCUCAUCAGCCAAGUCUGGCCGGUCACAACAAGAAGCAUCUGCAACAAGUGACUGUAGUCUAAAUGAGCAACACACCUCAAGACCCCCAUCACAAUCUGACAAUGACAAUGAUCAUGGGAAGCCCGAUCAGCACAUGGUAAAGCCGCUUUUAUCUUUGGGGAACCCAGAGACUGUUGCUCCCCCACCAAUGCUUGAUUGUAGCCAAUCAUUUGCAUAUAUUCCUUAUACUGCUGAUGCUUAUGCUGGGAUCUUUCCAGGAUAUGCCUCGCACGCUAUUGUUCAUCCCCAAUUAAAUGCUGCAACAAACUCUCGUGUGCCGCUCCCUGUUGAGCCUGCAGCAGAAGAGCCAAUGUUUGUUAAUGCAAAGCAAUACCAUGCAAUUCUUAGGAGGAGGCAGAUACGUGCUAAAUUGGAGGCCCAAAAUAAGCUGGUGAAAGCCCGGAAGCCAUACCUUCAUGAAUCUCGGCACCGCCAUGCCAUGAAGCGAGCUCGUGGAACAGGAGGGCGGUUCCUCAACACAAAGCAACUCGAGGAGCAGAAGCAGAAGCAGGCUUCAGGUGGUGCAAGCUGUACAAAGGUCCUUGGCAAGAAUACACUCCUUCAGAGUAGCUCCGCCUUCGCACCUUCGGCAUCAGCUCCCUCUAACAUGUCAAGCUUUUCAACAACCGGCAUGUUGGCUAAUCAGGAGCGCACCUGCUUCCCCUCGGUUGGCUUCCGUCCCACGUUUAGCUUCAGUGCACUGAAUGGCAACGGGAAGCUGGCCCCAAACGGCAUGCACCAGCGCGCUUCCAUGAUGAGGUAA
RNAcentral lists this ribosomal RNA (903 nucleotides) under Triticum aestivum (bread wheat). Its description in RNAcentral is "partial small subunit ribosomal RNA". The record is from RNAcentral. Lineage: Eukaryota; Viridiplantae; Streptophyta; Magnoliopsida; Poales; Poaceae.